AACGCUAGCUACAGGCUUAACACAUGCAAGUCGAGGGGCAGCAUUGGAGUAGCAAUACUUCAGAUGGCGACCGGCGCACGGGUGAGUAACACGUAUCCAACCUGCCGCUUACUCGGGGAUAGCCUUUCGAAAGAAAGAUUAAUACCCGAUGGUAUAAAGAGUUCGCAUGUUCUCUUUAUUAAAGAAUUUCGGUAAGCGAUGGGGAUGCGUUCCAUUAGAUAGUUGGCGGGGUAACGGCCCACCUAGUCUACGAUGGAUAGGGGUUCUGAGAGGAAGGUCCCCCACAUUGGAACUGAGACACGGUCCAAACUCCUACGGGAGGCAGCAGUGAGGAAUAUUGGUCAAUGGGCGCGAGCCUGAACCAGCCAAGUAGCGUGAAGGAUGAAGGUCCUACGGAUUGUAAACUUCUUUUAUAAGGGAAUAAAGUCACCUACGUGUAGGUGUUUGUAUGUACCUUAUGAAUAAGCAUCGGCUAACUCCGUGCCAGCAGCCGCGGUAAUACGGAGGAUGCGAGCGUUAUCCGGAUUUAUUGGGUUUAAAGGGAGCGUAGACGGGUCGUUAAGUCAGCUGUGAAAGUUUGAGGCUCAACCUUAAAAUUGCAGUUGAUACUGGCGUCCUUGAGUACGGUUGAGGCAGGCGGAAUUCGUGGUGUAGCGGUGAAAUGCUUAGAUAUCACGAAGAACUCCGAUUG
RNAcentral lists this ribosomal RNA (691 nucleotides) under uncultured bacterium. RNAcentral's name for it is "bacterial SSU rRNA". It matches the Rfam family "Bacterial small subunit ribosomal RNA", at positions 32 to 715 of the family's 1533-position model. The record is from RNAcentral.